GCCCGCAACCAAGGUACAUGCCCUUGACUGGAAUUGAACCCAGGACCCUUCAGUCCGCAGGCUGACGCUCUAUCCACUGAGCCAAACUGGUUAAGGCAAUUUUCCUAUUUUUUAAAUAGAAAAUGGAAUAACUUAGUAGUUUCAAUAUUGAAGACUGAAGUUUUUAAAACAAUUAAAUUCAAGGCACUUUUUCAGAAUUCACAGAAAAGCAUGUAGGCUUUCUGAAUUGUCAAGUAAUGAAGUAGAUGAUAACUGCGUGUGCAUGUGUGUGGCCUGAAAAUACUUCAGAGACUGUUCUCUACACACCACAGUAAAAUGGCUUGCCUGGAGUACCAGGGAGUCAUGUGAUCACUGCUUACAUAUGUAAUCUAUGUGCCUGUAUAUCUGUACACAGGCAGUGAACUCCACAGGCCAUCUGGGAGAGGUAGGGCCUUUUGGAAAGAUGAGCUUUUGAAUAGAAGUAUUCUGCUCGGUUAUGUUAUGUAUUGAACUAACAGAGACAUGCAGAGACUACUGAUGUAUUUAAAGCCUUUUGGCUGUUACUGUGCUUUAAGAGCUCAACAAUUCCCAGUGCUCACAUUUCUGCAGGGCUCCCUUUUCGCUUUGCCUUCAUGUUGAGGGAAAGCACACUUACUGAGAUUUGCCUUUUCCUCCCUGUCAGAUAGAUAUUAAGAGACUAAGAUAAUUUACAGAGUAAAGAUUUCAGUCCUCCAGUGGAAAAUGAGAGCAGGAUGCUCUUCAGCCCUGUUAUUUUUAAAAAAUAUUUUUGUUGAUUUCAGAGAGGAAGGGAGCAGGAAAGAGACAAACGUCAAUGAUGAGAGAGAAUCAUCGAUUGGCUGCCCCCUGCAUGCCCCACACUGAGGAUCGAGCCUGCAACCUGGGCAUGUGCCCUGACUGGGAAUUGAUGCUCAACUACUGAGCCACUCCACUGGGCUUUGUUGAGCACCUUUAAAAAGUAACAGCAGAAUCAUAAAAGUCAGAUGGACGUGCAUGGUGAAUCAUAUCUAAAACUUCAUUUCCUGGUUUACUUUCAGGGGAACUGUUUGGGAAAGCUAUUAGGUAACUUAAAAUACUGUCUCAUUUUCAGUCAUACCCUAUGAUCCAGCAAGCUGAUGUUCUGUCUUCUAAGAUACUCAUAGUACAUAUUAAAAAACCUAUAAGAUCCUGGUAGUUUUCACUUAAUUCUUCAUUUGUGAAACAUUUACUUUCCUGUUGUAAGUGUGAAGUUUUUAGGGUGUUAGUAAAAGUCUGUCAACUAUCAAAAGAGGUGUGUUAUGCAUGUGUGUCAAAACAUCAACACUCUACAGUGCUUUACUUUUACUGUGGGAAAGGAAUACUAAAUGGUAGGUAGUUGAAAUUUUACCCUUAAAACGCAGAAGGCAUAUGAACUCUAUCUCCCUAUCUGCAGUAACAUCAUCUGAUAAUGUAAUGGCACAGUAUUUUAUCUACUAAGUUAUAAAGUUACCGUAACAUCUUAGAACAUUAACCAUACAUGGAAUAUUGCCUAAACUCUGGAAAAAAGUAGAGUUAUCACAAGGUGCAUUUUAGCUAAAGUUCUGGACUUAAGUAAAAGGUGAUCUUUUAUUCCUGCUGGUGUUGGUGAGUAUGAGCUUACCUCGUGCCCCUUUCCCUGGACUGCCAGGGUAAUGUUUUGGGAAAGCAAGGUGAAGUUCACCUGUGUUUCGUGAAGCCGCGCUGUUUGCCGGUGUGUGUGCUUACAAUAGUGAGUACUUCUGCUCUCAGAUGCUUUUGGAACACGUUCUGAGAAACAUGUGAUGUCUCAGUUUGACAGGGAAAGAAUGAAUGCUCUGGAGUUCCUGCUUCCUGCUAGUCGUACUUUCGGUGAGUCCAUAUGAAAAACCUGAUAAGGUCCUUAAUUGUUCAUUAGUAAAACAUUUAUUUUCCUAUUGUAAUGCACAACUUAGUGGUAAUUCCACGUGAGCUUCUGACGCCCCCGCCAGAAGGUUCUUGUUCGUGUGUGUGUGUCUUUGGUAUUGCGCACAAAAUUCUGGGCCCAUAUUCACAUAUUUUUAUUAAGCGAUGCGAUUUAGUAGCGUCAUCGUAAUGUAAAUAAUGGUACCCCCAAGGCUCAUGAACACCAAACCCUACAGUCUGUGUGACGGCCUUGCUUCUGGGACUGCGAGGGCCCUCGGCUCACUCCUCUCCUGCUGCUUGACUUUGCACACGGCACAGAAAGAGCAAGGAAUUAGGUCCUGGGAGGCCUGGGUCCUGGUGCCUUUACUCAGCACCGGUGUGAUACUGUCAGCCUGAUUUGGGCCUUGUUCCUCUCAUGUAAAAUAAUGGGCUUGGACAGAGGAUCUUAGGUGCCAACUCUAGCACAUUAGGGAUUUAUCUGUUAUUAACUAAAAUGAUGGUGGAUAAAUGCAGGCCGAUGCUCUAACCAUUGAGUAAAACCAUCCAGGGCGGCAUGGGUAUAUUUUCAAAGAUUCCCAGGUGACCCUACUGUGCUUCCAGGGCUGAGGGCCAUGAACAGCCCUGUAGCGACGGAGAGGGACCAGCCAGAGAAGCUGGAGUGCCCUGUCGCCUCUGUGCAGGGCUGCUUGGGUGGGUGACAAGCACACAGUGGCGUGCAUCCACCGUUAGAGUAUCAGACGGAUGGGUUCACUGCCCUAAGAAUCCCCUGUGCUCCACCUAUUCAUCCCUGGAAACCACAUCCUUUUAUUGUCUCCAUAGUUUUGUCUUUUUCCGGAAUGUCAUAUAGUUGGAAUCAUAGCGUAUGUCAGAUUAGCUUCUUUCAUGUAGGAACAUGCAUUGGAGGUGUCUUUUCAUGGCUCAUUUCCUUAGCACUGAACAGUAUUCUAUUGUCCGGAUGCAGCCCCAAGGCUCAACGACCUGUUUCCCUUUUUCUGCAAUGGCCUUCAUUCAAAAGUUAAUCCCCAUGAAAAGCUCUGUUCCCUCAUCCAGAAAACCUCUGGUUUGCCUCCAUUACCAUAAGUAAACAGGGUGGGGGAGAAAGCAGUUUUACAGUUAUUAGGAAAAUAAUACAAUAAGCCCUAGCCAGUUUGGCUCACUGGAUAGAGCAUCGGGCUGGGGACUGAAGGGUCCCAGGUUCGAUUCCCGUCAAGGGCAUGUACCUUGGUUGCAGCUGAUCGAUGCUUCUCUCUCAUUGAUGUUUCUAACUCUCUAUCCCUCUCCCUUCCUCUCUGUAAAAAAUCAAAAUAUAUUAAAAAAAAUACAAUAAUUAAUAAUACAAGAAACUUGCGUACUCAAGACUGUAAAGCUAUAUUUGCCAUACCCUGUAUUUUCUCUAAAGCCACUAGGUGGCAGUAUUUAUAUGCUUUUCUCCCUCCAGGCACUGCUGAAAACAGGAUUGAAGUAAAAGAAUGGUUCAGGGUAUGGGAAGGACUUAAAGGAGCCCCCUCUCCUCCCCCAACCCCACCCCUGUCCCUGCCCCACUGCACACACACAUUACUAGUACUGAACCUUUUUUUGUUCAUUUGACAAAGGACGUUCUUUUUUAAAAUUUUAAACGUUUCUUUUUAUUUUGAAACAAUCUCAAAUUUAUAUAAAAGCAAUUAUAAAAAACAAGAACCCUUGUUUUUUCAGACUUUUUUGAGGGUCCAUGGCCCAUAGGAUGCCCCAUCACUGCCAAGUACUUUGUAUCUCCUGCAAAAAAGGGUAUUCUAGUACAUAUGUCCUAGGCAGCCUUCAAAAUCAGGAACUUACAUAUUCUAUCCUGUAAUUCUCAGAUACCAUUCAAUAACUGUCCCAAUAAUGCCCUUUAUAGCAAAAGGAUCCCAGUCCAGAAUCACCACUGUGCUUAGUUAUCAUGUCUCCUGCCGUCGAUGCUGCCGUGUGUGGUUAGAAGGUCCCCACAUCACAGACGCUGUGCGAACGGUGGUACGGGGGGAAAACACUCUUUUCUUUGUUUUGUGCCUCCGAUAUAUCUGGCCUGGGUAGUUAGCCUACAUGCACAGUCUUGUAAAGGCUCCAAGCGGAAAGCUCUAAAUCUGCCAGAGGUGAGUCUGUGGUAUGCCGAUUUCCAUUCGCCCUUACUAGUUCUUUUUCUUAGUCAUCUGAAAAAUAAUUCCCUUUAGGCCAGAGCUCAUUUUUCAUGCUCUUUUUUCAAAUUCUUUGUUCUGACUUAUUUAGGUUAUGGGGAUGGCAUCCUCAGUUUUCAGAGGUUUUAGAGAAAAGCCUGUGUGGGUGUCAACCAGGAUGUAGAUGGAUUUUGUUUUUUCCCCUUCCUGCCCAUGAGUUUCUUCCCACAAGCAGGUAAUCAGAUAUGUGUAGGUUAUAAUUCUUAUUUCUUUAAAUAUUUCAUUUGCUCCUUUCAUCUCUUUCUUUUCCUGGGAAAAGUCACUGCUCUCUAAGCUUCAGUGUGAUGCUGUCUAGUUUAGACGGCCCGGGUCAGACGGCCAUUCCUCUGUGCUCUGUCUGCCCCCCUGUCCUGGUACUUAUAAGUGGCUUUUAGAUCUAUUCUCUCCAUGAAGCUUUGAGUUUCUUCAGAGGAGGAGUCAGGUCUUGAUUCAUUUUGUUACCCUUACAGCUUAUCUCAGGGCUUGGAUUUAGCCCAUGGUCAGUUUAAAAAGGGAAACACUGGCCCGGCCGGCGUGGCUCAGUGGUUGAGCAUUGACCCAAGAACCAAGAGGUCCCAGAUUAGAUUCUCGGUCAGGGUACUUGCCUGGGUUGCUGGCUCGAUCCCCAGUAGGAGGCGUGCAAGAGGCAGCUGAUCCAUGAUUCUCUCUCAUUGAUGUUUCUAUCUUUCACUCUCCCCUCCUCUCUCUGAAAUCAAUAAAAAUCUAUUAAAAAAUAAGUAAAAACACUGGUGAGCAUUAUUGCAGGUAUCCUUAAUGGCCUACAACUUGCACUUCAAGGGUCCACCUGUCUUUGUGUUGAAGUGGACCUAAAAUUGUCCUCUGGGGAAGAGGGUGGCUCUGCCUCCUGCUGUCCCUUGGGCCACCUCCCUGCGGAUCGAGCGGCCUUCUGCUCAUGCGCAUUGUGGUUGACUGCCCUCAACCCAGCUGUGAGGAAGGUGUGUGGACCUGCCUGGAACUUGCAGAAUAGAAUUUGCACUUCAGAUGGUUGUCAAAGUAAAACCUCAAACUCUCUGCUGACCAAUGUUCAUAAAGAUCAAGAAAAAGUCUUUGUAGAAGUCUGUCCGAAGCAUACCUGCUUGGUACAUGGCAUGGAUCCUUCCUCAGGGUGGAGUCUGCUCUCUCAUCCUCAUUCUCCUCGUGUUGAGAAUCAUGACGACAAAGGCGGUGCCGUCCGCCUGUUCUCUGAAAUUUGUGAGGUCCUCUUCCUCUCUCCUUCCCCUCCUCCUUCUGGUACAUCAACAGGAAAAUGUCCCCUCAAAUUAUAGCAUCAGUUCAUCUAUGUCCUGAGCAGCUGGUUGGUUCUCAGAUAAGAUUACGAAAAGUCUGACUUGUGUGACUUCCAAGUUUGUAUUUUUAUGUGUGUGGACCCCCAGAAAGCUAGUCUCUGCCAGCUCCCAGGCAUGUACAAGGUUGGUCAUUACUCCGUUGCCUGCAUAACCGUGGGGUUACUGGUCAUUUCCUGCGCUAGACCACCAGGCAGAGCCCAUGGCGCGCAUUGCAUCCGCAGGACCCACUGCACUGCCCGUGUGCUUGAUAAGUGUGGGUUGAAUAACUGAAUAUGUCGAAUCAGUGUGAUACUUUCUAUUUUCUUUACUGCCAUGAUGUGAGAGCCUCACAUUAUAAAACCUCUGCUCAGAGAGCCACAGGCAAUGGUAUUAUUGCAUAAAAACCUAUCCAUGUAAAAAUACAUCGCAAGACUAAAUUUCAUGCCUGCAAGAUGUGGGCCAGGGGGACCAGCUUUUGUCAUGAUUUAGCAAUGAUCUGAAAUGUUCCUGCUCUGCCAAUUUGUCAGAAAAUCAGACAAGAAGAUUUCAGAGAAAUGGUAAGACUAGAUAAGGAAACCCAUUGUGUGUGUGUGUGUGUGUGUGUGUGUGUGUAAGUGAAAGUUUAGGAGACUCCGUUGAGUGUGUUUUUUUAAACAUAAAUGAUUUAUUUAUUAUAUUUAAUGUAAAUAUGUAAAAACUCAAACCUAUAUAAAAACAAUUUUUACAGAUCUUAUACAACUAUAAAAUCAAAUACAUGUAUCAUUUAAUGCAAACAAAAUUCAAAGACAUAAUUCAAAUGAACCCCGCCCCCCCCCCCCCAUGUUCUCCUUGGCAGGCUUCCCCACUAUUCCCUGAGGCCAUCCAACUCUCCUAACUCUCUCCUUUACUCAAAUAUUGCAAAAUAGACAUUCCUCUGCCAUCUGCAAUGCAGUAUACCUCUUACCACUGUGGGGUUAAAAAUGCCUCAUCGAUCUAGUCAGCUCGUUUCUGGCUUACCACCAACUUAAAGUGGUACUGCCUGGCGGCCAUGUCAUCAGUAAGCGCACUGCUAAGGAAAUUGUUCUGUUCUCCUCAGACGUAAGGCAGGCUUCCACAUCGCCCAGGAAGCGAAGUUUCCAUUAAAAUGUUUAUAUUACUACUGAGGUAAAAUUUUACUAAUUUGUGUAGAAAAACUUGAGAGUAUUCAAAAAUAUAUCAGAGGACUGUGGUUAAAAACAUUUGGAGAAAUAGCCCUGGCUGGGUGGCUCGGUUGGUUGGAGCAUCGUCCAGUGUAGCCAGUGGUGUCGGGUUCGACUCCUGGUCAGGGCAUAUACCUAGGUCUUGGGUUCCAUCUCUGGUUGGGGUGGGUAUGGGCGGCAACCAACUGAUGUUUCUCUUGCACAUCUAUGUUUCUCUCUCUCUCUCUCUCUCUCUCUCUCUCUCUCUCUCUCUCUCUCUCUCUCUUUUUGUCUCCCUCCCUCUUUCCCUCCCCACCUCUUUCUCUAAAACCAAUAAAAACAUAUGCUUGGGUGAGGAUUAAAAAAUAUUAGGAGAAAUAGUUACUUAUUGCCUAUUCAUUCAGACCCAAAUAAUCCAAUUGAUAUUAUUUCUUUGUGAGUGUGUGCAUGUGGGGUGUGUGUGUGUGUGUUGCGGGGGAGAAAGGAGGAGGAGAGAAGAGAGGAGUUAUUUUUUAAAUAUAAUUGUUUAAGCUGGCCCUUAAUUAAAAAGAUAUGUUUCUAUUAAUUUCAGAGAGAGAAAGGGAGAGGGAUAGAUAGAAACAUCAGUGAUGAGAAAGAAUCAUUAAUUGGCUGCCUCCUGCACACCCUCCACUGGGGAUCGAAUUGUGAUGCUCAACCACUGAGCCACAUUGGCCAGGCUGGUCCUUAAAUUUUGAUGGUGACAUAAUCUCUUUUGGGAUCUUUGAGGAGGAUCAGACUGUAUGCUUGCCUCUGACUGUUUUUAAGAUUUUUAACAUGAAGUUGGACUUCUUGAGAUGAAAGGUACAAUGUAGUUCUGGUAAGUAAAUAUAAGAAUUUGAGAAUGCAUGUCUUGGGCAAAUCCCAAGACUAUUGCUUUUUAUUUUCCACUUAAGUCAAAUAUUUUAAAAUUUUCUUUGGAGAUGGUGCUUACCAUUUUGUUAUAUACUAGACUAUUCGUUAUAUAUUUUACCUAAAACUUACUGAUGUUUGUUUAGAUGAUAAUAAAUAGGUUUAUUAUCUGUUUCCAGUGUUUAGUAAUUGUCAUGAAGCAAACCUCAGUUAAAAUGUUUUAUUUUCCUGACUUUACACAAAUGUUUUCUGAAGUAUUCUGUGGAUUCUUCAAAAAUACAGUAUAUACUUUACUACUGCCAAAGAAUGUAUUUGUCUUAAAUUUGAGUUUUUGAACUCUAACAUCUGUGAACACUUGAAAUGGAAUUAUGUUUCAAAAUCUAAUUAUGAAAUUAAUGUAGAAUGUACAUCUUGAAAAUGUAUGAGAGCCUCAAUAUUUAGAUGGCUGUAUUAAAUUCAAUUUCAUGUUUUAUUUUCUGGUUUUAUUUAUAGAGAAGUUCUCGUGGUUUACGAAUAAAACAUGUUAGAUAUUAAUUAGCAAAAUACACAAAUGUUAAAAUUUAGUUUUUAAAUUUAAUUCUGCCUUUGAGAAACAGCAAAAGUAUUAAAGUCAGACCAUCAUAUAAAACUUUUAUAUGUGAACAUGAAUUUCUACUUCACAUUCCAAAUCUGUGACGAUUUGGGACACACAUUAUUAUUUGACUAGAGGCUCAGUGCACAAAAUUUGUGCAUGGGUGCCAUCCCUAGACCUGGCUGGUGAUCAAAGCACGAGUGCCUGGCAUGGGAGGGCAGGUCCCAACUGGCCUCUGGACCCUGGGCAGCACCUGGGUCCCUGGCCUCUGCACGCACCCCUCCUCCUGAAUCAUGGCGUCUGAGUCCUCACAUGGAGCACAGCCGGAUGCCGCAGGCCAGGGCGUAGCGUGGGCCUCUGGGCCACCCCGCAGUGCUGCAUGGAAGCCAGGUGGGCAGCAUGCUCUCUCCUGGCUAGCCUUACAGACCCACUCCUGCCCAGGGCCCCUGUGCUCCCAGCAGCUGUGGCCCAGCUCACCCAGAAGGCGCUGCAUGGGUGUGGGGUGAGCUCCUCGCAGGCGCCGGCACCUGAGCACGGUGGCUUCCCUGGUGCAUGGGAAGGGUAGCAGGGGGGGUGAGAGUGAGCUUGGCGGACACCCGGCAUUCUCACUGCACCUCCUUCCCUGUAACCCCCGUCCCCAGGUAGCCAGUGAGAGGUUGCAGUGCAUUGCUGACACCCGCCAUGUUCCACGCUGCCCCCUGGUGGUCAGCACAUGUCAUAGUGAGCCAUCAAACUCCUGGUUGAACUCCCAGUUGAGGGAACAAUUUGCAUAUUAGGCUUUUAUUAUAUAGGAUUAUUUUUAGUUUUCAACCAGAUGUUUGGCAUUGUGUAAGCCUGGCCCUAGCAUAACAUGGCUAAUGGACAUUGACUCUGCCAUUGUGCUGAGCGCAGUGUCAUUCCUGUUUACUUCAGUUUUGCUCACUAGUUUUAUUGGGGCUUUUAAAAUUCCACCCUAAAACUUUCCCCCAAAGCAUUUGAGUUUUACUGUCAAAGGGAGAGACCAUUAAUAUAAUUUUGGUAAAGUGUCAUCCCCUCAAACACUGAUUUUUCCCCCCUCCUAGUUAAGAUUAUGUUAAUAGGCUGUAUUUGCAUGUAUGCGUACUUGCCAUUAUACAAUGCUUAUUGUCCAUAUCACUACUUAAUUUGUUGACACAUUUUAUAGUAUGCAAAUACAAACUUAAAAAUCAUGUUAGAAGUUUCAGUUUGCAUUUUACAUUUUUCAAGGUGUUUAUUUGGGUGUGUAAACAAACAGGUACACCCAGUUAAACAUUCAGUGACAAACAUCUUGUUGAGCCAUGAGACUGAAGGUUGGUCCCAAUUGAGGAUGAAUCAGGGUGUUUUAGUUGAAAAAAAAAUCCCAACUCACACUGGCUUAACUAAGGAGGAUAUUGAAUGGCUCAUGUUACAUAAAUCCAAGGAUGUGGUGGGCCGGUCCAACCACCCAGUGUGGACGUCAAGGAUUUUCUAUCUGUAGUCUCUGACAUCCGCAAUAUGAACUUCAUGCAAAGGCUCAUUUUCUGAGUAGUUGUGGUUUGGCUGCUACCCAGCCAGGGCACCAUGCCCUCCAAAGGGUCUCAGUCCACGGACAGAUGGACAGAUGUCUGUGGGAUUACAGUUUUAUGGGAGAAGCAAUUAGGAAAAGAACAUUCUAAAAAGGCUUCUUGUGGGAAGGGUGGUAAUAGAGGGAAGGUGGAUAAAAAUAGGUAAUCUCAAAGCUGAGGAAGAGGGGUUUUGGCCAGAGAUAUCUGGAAAGUGGUGACGUUCCUGUAUGGCCCAAAGGUUCCCAGUUGAGGGGUGAACGGGGCAGAUCAGCUGCUCUGUGGCUCAGCCCUGAGCCUUGCCCACCAUGGCAGGACCCUCUUCACUUUGCCCACGGCAACACAGAGACUCCUGGAGCCCCUCGUCCUGGCAGCCCUGCCUGCUCCUGCUGGGGUCUGAGCUGGCAUGUAGACAGGUUAGGACUAAGCACAGAAAGCGAUGGAAAAGUGAAAAAAACAACUGGCCAUCUUAGCAGCUGAACUGCCUCUGUGCCAGAAUGUUUCCCCUUCUGUACCGGAGACACCAGCUGGAAGCUGUCUGCUACCUCUUCCUAAUCCCGGAGUUCCCCUUUCUGAAGCUGACUGCUGGGCUAAGGGCUUCUCUGGGGUCAGAAAAGGCCGGUCAGCACCACUCUCACAGGACUGCAUUCGAUGAAAAGAAGAAAAUCAUUGUCAAGGAGAAUGAUUAGUAGUCCUGGUUUUAGCCAUUUGCAAAGUCCAAUAAAAAGCAAAUUCCAAAGCAGUAAUGUGUUUCAAAUGUGAGUGUUAACAGCUGUGCUCUCACUUCUUUACAGAGUAUAAAUGUACAAUUCCAAGCCUUUUCUUUGUGUUUAGAAAAAACUCUACCUUCACCUCAAUGCUCUGGCCAUACCACCUAGCUUGCUAUUCCAAAUUUACAC
Molecule: long non-coding RNA, 10361 nt
Organism: Myotis myotis
Lineage: Eukaryota; Metazoa; Chordata; Mammalia; Chiroptera; Vespertilionidae
Exons: 3
Source: RefSeq, a predicted model, not a curated record